Molecule: ribosomal RNA, 447 nt
Filed under: uncultured bacterium
Lineage: Bacteria
Description: SSU rRNA
Rfam family: Bacterial small subunit ribosomal RNA
Source: RNAcentral
AGAGCGAACGCUGGCGGCAGGCUUAACACAUGCAAGUCGAGCGGGCGUAGCAAUACGUCAGCGGCAGACGGGUGAGUAACGCGUGGGAACAUACCUCUUGGUUCGGAACAACACAGGGAAACUUGUGCUAAUACCGGAUAAGCCCUUACGGGGAAAGAUUUAUCGCCGAGAGAUUGGCCCGCGUCUGAUUAGCUAGUUGGUAGGGUAAUGGCCUACCAAGGCGACGAUCAGUAGCUGGUCUGAGAGGAUGAUCAGCCACAUUGGGACUGAGACACGGCCCAAACUCCUACGGGAGGCAGCAGUGGGGAAUAUUGGACAAUGGGGGCAACCCUGAUCCAGCCAUGCCGCGUGAGUGAUGAAGGCCCUAGGGUUGUAAAGCUCUUUUGUGCGGGAAGAUAAUGACGGUACCGCAAGAAUAAGCCCGGCUAACUUCGUGCCAGCAGCCGC